This 1215-nucleotide long non-coding RNA is filed under the name Nicotiana benthamiana. Its description in RNAcentral is "long non-coding RNA (NBEN_LNC030389)". Lineage: Eukaryota; Viridiplantae; Streptophyta; Magnoliopsida; Solanales; Solanaceae. The record is from RNAcentral.
UUCUUCUCUGAAGAACAUGCGAACCAAGCCUCAAUUUUAGUCCAAAUCCAAAGCGAGUGAGCCUCAAAUCUAUCCUCACGCGUUCCUUCUUCUCUCCUCACCACCAUUUCUAACGGUUUCUGACGCUAAUAUUCCCUUUCCUCUCACUCGCUCGAAAUUGAGUUUUAUCCCACGAUUGGAAGCUUCUGGGAACGAUUUGCCAGAUUAGUGUGAGGCAUUGGAUUGAUUUCACUCAAUCCCAAGCCCACAUUCAUCAGGAAUUCAUUUUCAAAGGGAUCUCUAUCCGAUUUUGAAAGGGACUCAAAAAGAUUUGAAAAAAAAGGGUUGAAAGGUUUCUAAAGUGAAACUUCUGUUCUUCAGAUUCUAUUUUCUUCUUUGAAGAGUUCUUUCAAGGUUUAAAGGGAACAUAUAUACAAAUUUUUUAUUUUUGAAUCCGAUUUUUGAAUGCCUAAGAGAUAGAAAUGAAUGGAGGUCGUUCAACUAGUGGUGAGAUUUAAGGUUGUCGACUUCAAUUUUCUACUUUCGUCUUGCUAGUUGCUGCUGAACCUCGUUAGGAUUUGGAGUCGAAAGGUAUGUUGUUGAGUCUGUAAUUAUUACAGAAAGUUUGAAAUAUCAGGUAAAAUUUGCUCAAUGGUAUUCUGUUCCAUGAUUGAAUUUUUGUUGAUGACUUUCUUCUCAAUGGUAUGAUGUGUUUUAGUAUAUCCAGCCAGUAGAAGCUGAGUCUGAAGGGUCGUCCUCUGUGCUUUUGCUUUGAUUGCUAUAAUGAUGUCGAGUUUUCAUUUAAGUCAAGAUUUCGAGUUAAUUUUCUGAGUUUAAAGGUCUAUUGGAAUGGUUCUGGUGUGGAAGUUUGACAGCCUGUUCAAGGUUGGAUGUCUGCUUGAAGUGUUGAAUCACUUAACAUUAUCAGCUCUUUCUCUACUUAUUUCAGCUUGUAAUUUGAUGUGCGUAGAUCAAUAUAGGAUUUGUGGUUCCUCUUUAGCUUCAAUAUUAGCUCAUGAAAUCAGUAAACGAUUGUUUUUUGGUGUUUAUCACGACCUGCUAUGGAAGUUGAGAAAUAAGCAAUUCAAUUCCUGUUUUAAAGCAGUAGCUGGUCUAAAUUGCAGCUAUCAAAGGGAGUGCUAUUGCUGGACUCAUUGCAGCUUCAUUUCUUUCUAACAACAACAACAACAACUACCCAGUAUACUCCCACCAGGUGGGGUCUGGGGAAGGUAAUNN